Oncorhynchus gorbuscha (pink salmon) is the source of this 918-nucleotide long non-coding RNA. RefSeq lists it as uncharacterized. NCBI's taxonomy places the organism in Eukaryota, Metazoa, Chordata, Actinopteri, Salmoniformes, Salmonidae. The record is from RefSeq and is a predicted model, not a curated record. The transcript is spliced from 3 exons.
CUUGUCAACCACCUCGUUAGCUUGCCAGCCAACAUACCCGAAAGAUUCAAGCUGUUUAUACGCUUUCGGUGUAUUUUAGCUACUGUGUUUUAGACACACGUCUGUCGUAUCUACUUGUUAACCAAUUUAAUAUUACGUUAUUUUGUAUUAGUCAGCUAUAGUAGCUGGCUGGUUAAGUUAGCACUAGCCUAGUCGCUAAUGAUAGCUAACUAGCUAACAUCCCCGAACAUGAGCUCCCUAAACUACUCCCCUCCUGUUAAAGAAGAGGUCUGCUGGACGGAGAAAGAAGCUCUGGGGCUGAACUUUGUCGUGAAAGAGGAGAAGGAAGAGGAGGAUGUUACUGUAAAAAAAGAAGUAGAGGUUGAGGCUGUUACCAUGAAAGAAGAAGAGAAAGACGUUUCAGUGAAAGAAGAGGAAGACUCGUUCAGAGUGAAAGAGGAGGAUGUUACAGUAAAAUAAGAGGAGGAAGGGAAAGAGGAUGCAUUUUUUUGAGUGAAGAAGGUGCGAUUACUGUCCCAUUGAAAGAUGAAGAGGAGGAGAUAGGAUAUCUGAUUAACACCAGUCUCAUUUACAACUGCGAACUUGUUCUCAACUGGCCUACCUGUAAUGCUCGUCUGUGAUGGAAGAAGAGGAGGACCAAUGCACAGCGUGGACAGAGACGGGAAUAACUUGGGUCAUCUGGGGUGCUUCAACAACCUCAUGAUGCUGACAAGGCAGAGAAGAGUCACUCCACAUUAGAACACCUCAAGAAACAUCUGCAGAGAUCCACAGGGAAGAGAACUCACUGCUCCUCUGACUGUGGGAAGAGAUUCACCUCCUCAGCAGUCAUUAAAAUUCAUCAGAGAACACACACAGGAGAAAACCCUUAUUGCUGUACUCAAUGUGGGAAGAGUUUUACUCAGAAAUGUACCCUGCUGU